Molecule: small nucleolar RNA, 108 nt
Filed under: Myotis brandtii (Brandt's bat)
Lineage: Eukaryota; Metazoa; Chordata; Mammalia; Chiroptera; Vespertilionidae
Description: Small nucleolar RNA snoR99
Rfam family: Small nucleolar RNA snoR99
Source: Rfam by way of RNAcentral
CUGCUGCUUUGGGAUGAAAUAGUUCAUAAAUAUCAAUUAAAUCCAUCUGAUUAUGUGUGUCAUUUAAGGCCUCUGUUUCUUUGUUGAUUUUUUUUGCAUGGAAGAUCU